RNAcentral lists this ribosomal RNA (499 nucleotides) under Mrakia sp. Its description in RNAcentral is "LSU rRNA". It matches the Rfam family "Eukaryotic large subunit ribosomal RNA", at positions 183 to 667 of the family's 3401-position model. Lineage: Eukaryota; Fungi; Basidiomycota; Tremellomycetes; Cystofilobasidiales; Mrakiaceae. The record is from RNAcentral.
AAGUCCCUUGGAACAGGGCGUCAUAGAGGGUGAGAAUCCCGUCCUUGACACAGAUUACCAAUGCUUUGUGAUGCGAUCUCGAAGAGUCGAGUUGUUUGGGAAUGCAGCUCAAAAUGGGUGGUAAAUUCCAUCUAAGGCUAAAUAUUGGCGAGAGACCGAUAGCGAACAAGUACCGUGAGGGAAAGAUGAAAAGCACUUUGGAAAGAGAGUUAAACAGUACGUGAAAUUGUUAAAAGGGAAACGAUUGAAGUCAGUCAUGCUUUCCGAGACUCAGCCGAUUCUGUCGGUGUACUUCUCGGUUGGCAGGCCAGCAUCAGUUUCGAUCUGUGGAAAAGGUUGGAGGGAACGUGGCAUCCUCGGAUGUGUUAUAGCCCUUCUUCGAAUACAUAGAGCGGGACUGAGGAACGCAGCGCGCCUUUUAUUAGGUUGGCCCUCGGGUACAUACGCGCUUAGGAUGCUGGCAUAAUGGCUUUAAACGACCCGUCUUGAAACACGGACC